AAGGAAGCCCAGGAAAGGCUACCUAGGGUAGAGUAUUGGAUUAGAGUCAGAGGGCUCAUUUGUUUUUUGGUUUUGCUGGUUUCCUGUUUAACCGGAGGGUGCUCUCUCACACCGUCUAAACUUCAUGGGACGAGGAAACGAGAUCCAGUUCGACAACUUGUCCAAGGUCACGGAGCAAGGAGAUUGAUUCUAUACCUGUAUACUAAAUCAGAGCUGCUCUGGGUUUUCUUUCUUUUCAGUCAUGUGAAGCGAUGCGUCCUAAUAUUUGAUGCUAUGGAUAUUGUGUCACAAGAAAUUAGUGAAAAAUCCGUGGAGACAGAAAAUAGACUGGUGGUUGCUAGGAGGUGGGGGGGGGGAUGGGAUGGGGAGUGGCUGUUAGUGGGUAGGAUCGUCUUUAGUGUAGGGAAAAUGUUCUGCAGUUUGAUAGUGAUGACACAAACUCUGAGUAUACUAAAAUACCACUGACUUGUACCGUUUGACCAAGUCAACUUUGUGAUACGUGUGUGAAUUGUGUGUGGAUAAGGCUGUUACAAAAUACGUCAAGAGUAAGAGUGCUGUGGGUUAACCCACACAAACACAUGGUUGGGGUAUGUCACAAUUCUGUUCUUAGUGGGCAAAAACUGUGGUUUAUAUGCAUGCAUGCAUUCAUUCAUUCAUUCAUUCAUCCGAUAAUCCAUGCCCAUCUUUACCAGGUACUCUGACAGGGGUACAAAGAUUAAAAAUGCAUGAUUUCUGCCUUCAAGGAGUUCCCCGUCUACUGAGGGGGCGGUCAUUAUAGUACAAUAUGGUAAAUGUUAUUCCAGGGAGGUAAUCAAAGUGCCAGAUUUAGGGUACUUAAAACCAAGGGAGGGACGUUUGCACCAUCAUGGAGACGCUGGAGUACAUGACAGAGUUUGCCAAUGGCUGAUGUGCUGGGUGUGAGAGGUGUGGCAGAAAAUGCAGCCAGACUGUUACAGGACAAAGUCUCACCGUGUGUUAGAGCUCAGUUCAAGACCGACACCCUAAUGAAAAAGUGAAAACUGAAUUCCUCUUUGUCUUUCCUAUUCCUGCCACAGUGUGUGAUUUUGGUGAAUGGUCUCGGUAUAAACCCAGUUUGGUUACCUCACAGAGAGCAACAGUUGCAUCAACUGACCUUUGUUUCUACCUUUAUAGUAGAGUUGUAUAGUACCUUUCUUUCCUCUGAAGCUGGAGAGGUUGAGGGGAUGCACUCAAGGCUUUACAGCUUCUAUCCUAAGUGAUGGAUCUAGAAUGACUCCAUUUCCAGGCUGAGUCCCACAUUCUUGACAUUGUCAGCCUUGCGAGUUGUGAAGCUUCCUUAGAAGCGCAAAGAACUCUUGAGCUAAAAAAGCUGUUUGAGCAGCAGCAAGUGAAACCUGUUUUUAACACUUGGAGUUGAUCUACUUUUGGAUUGGGAAGUAGGGAUAUUAUAGGCCCUAAGGGGAGAAAACAAACAAACAACAUAGCCAGCUGAUCCCCUUAGCUCCUCAGGAAAAUCCCGGAUUCUGGAUUUGUAAGAGUGGCCUUGCAGUUGGAAAACCGGAGGCUACCUAUCUGUAUUGUCAGCAUACGAUUGUCAGCAUCAACAGCACUUUCCUUCUCCACCUUUCCUUCCAUCCCUCCCUGGUUUGUGAAUACCUUUUGAAAGCAGAGACUGGGCUUUGUUAAUUUCCUUGCUUCCCCUCCCCACACUUAACAACCUCCUCCCUCUUAACCCUCCCCUCUUCCCCGCCCUCCCAGCCUCAGAGCUUGGGACCCAGUAGCCCCUCAAUGAAUGUUUGCUCAAUAUUCAAUGUUGUUUUACUGGCAAAAAGGGAAUCGUUUUUCCCCACACUAAUUGUUUAUAGUGCUGAUAUACAUUAUGAAUUUGGGGUAUUAAUUGGUCUAUAUAGCAUGUACAUUCUACAGCUUUGGGACACGGUUGCAAGAACAUGAGAGAAUUCAUACAUUCCACAUUUUAACAAGCUGUGAAUUGAACUCUAAAUCUGAAGCCUGAGUUUAAGUCAGUUUCAAUCUAAUAGAACACAAUAUUAAUAUUUUAACAGUAAAUAAGCUAAGUACUUGAGAGCAGAAUAAUUUUAAUAUUUAUUAUAGAAUUUUUUUUAUCGCUGAGGAGAUAAUUUGCUAGUAGUUUCAAAGGUCUUCAAAAUCUUUUCUAAAUCUUCCUUUUUUUCUUUUCCUUUUUCAAUUCCUCCUUUUAGUCUCAUUUUAAUCUUUCACAGUAUUCUGUUAUCUAAUUAACACCUCAGCAUUACAAUCCUAUUUUCCAUAAAUUUCUGUGUUAAAAAUCUAGGGAAUCUAAAAAAUGGGGUCAGGGGGAGAAUGGGUGCUGAUCUCCCUGGAGUCUAAGGCCUGGAGAAAACCAAGAAGCCUGUAACUCUUCCUUUUGCAGGAACAGAUGUUGUCCCUCCCGGAGGAGUUAUUAUGGGUUGGAAGAAAUGAGAUAAUAAAAAUAAACAAGCAAUACUGUGAAUGUUAUCAAACAUCAUCAGCACCAGCCAGAUAGAUCCCUAAAUAAGUAUUCUUUACCAAUAAAAGCAAAAGCAGAUGAACAUGACAGUUUUCUAAAUAUAUGCAGAAAAAGAAACAAUUUGAGCAAAAUAGCCAACCUAACUGGGCUACACAUGAGCCACUCCUUGGGAAGGUGGAAACUGUUGUUGGUUCAGCCUCCCUGGCCAUCCGCAGUCAACCCUGCCCCAGAGCCUUUGCUGCCUUCUUAAACAGCCUUCUUCCUUUCCAGGUCACAUGGCAAUCUACUGCCCCUUAGGAUAUUUAUGGGAUCUGUUUUAUGGGUGAAAAGCCAACCAAAGAUAGGACAAGGGGAAGAGCCAGAAUCCUUCCCUGCUUAGCUGUCUGCCAGAUCCUGGGGUUUCCAAUCAGUUAGCCCUGGGCCUCCUUGCCGUUCUAGGAAAAUCAAUCUGUGGCAAAAUUUGAGGAAAGGAAGGAUACCAGCAGAUAAUGAUUACAAAGGUAUUUAACCUGAUGAAAAAGAACAAUUUUGUAGGUAGUGUAAAUGUGAAAAUUAGGAACUUUUUUUUUUUUUUAAGUCAAACGUAAUGCUACAAUUGCAUCCUCCAAACAGUUAAUGGUGGGAAACUAUUCCCUAGCUCUGUCUGAUUAGGGAAAGUUUAUGAUGAAGGUGGAUUUUGAGUUGACAGUGAAGGAUGUGUGAGGACCACUAGUCAGAACGAGGGGAGUUUGGAGUGAGCAGCACCUGGAAAGUCCCAGUGUGUGCAUAGGUAUGUGGCUUCAGAAAAGUCACCGAAAGGUGACCUGUGGAUGAAGCGUUGAAGGUGACCUGCGGAUGAAGUGUGCAAAUUUCUGUUUAUCUAAACUGCUCACAGCUUCUCUGCCUUUGUGUAUUUGCAGAUUCUCUACUUCCACCUCCAGGAAAAUAGAUACAUAUUUAAGAGAAAAAGACACUGGCUUGAAGUAACUUAGCUGUUACCAUAGAGAACAAGAAAAUAACAAAUUUCACAUCAUGUGAAAGGAAAGUCAAGCGUGAUAAUUAUUCAGAAUAAACCACUCAAAAGGCUCUUCAGUAGAAUAAAGAAGAAUCGUUGUCCCAAAGGAAGCUACUGUUUUGACAUUUCACUGGGAAGAGAUCCAAAAAUUGAGACUAGGAGUAUAGCCCUUGCUUUUCUUCUGGAAGACUUCAUGUGAUAAUUCAGAGAAGCUGAUGUUUGUAAUUCUAGUUACCUUCAGAUGAUAAUCAAAUCAAACAAAUCAAACAAAACCAAUGGAUGCAUGUAUAGAGGAGACUGACACUGCAAUAAUUUCUAUCUUUUUAAUAAAUGACUUGAU
Molecule: long non-coding RNA, 3801 nt
Filed under: Lynx pardinus (Iberian lynx)
Lineage: Eukaryota; Metazoa; Chordata; Mammalia; Carnivora; Felidae
Source: RNAcentral